This is a long non-coding RNA of Neofelis nebulosa (Clouded leopard), 6161 nucleotides long. RefSeq lists it as uncharacterized. The transcript is spliced from 6 exons. The record is from RefSeq and is a predicted model, not a curated record. NCBI's taxonomy places the organism in Eukaryota, Metazoa, Chordata, Mammalia, Carnivora, Felidae.
CUCACGGCCCCGCCCCCGGCCGGCGACGGACAGGGCCGUCACCCCUCAGGGCCUCACCUUACGUCCUCCCAGGCACUGGAGUGGCCCAGGGUCUCUGAGGACCCCGACCCAGCGCGCCGCUGGGAGUGAGACCGCCUGCCGGGCUUCGCGCCACCCCCACCCCAGACUGGGGCACUGGAGGGAAGGCAGUUCUGACAGUCUGCCCUCGCGUGUCCCGCCUGGCCCAAGUGUCCUGGGCCCCCAGGCCUGCUCUGCACACCACCUUUUCAGGCCCAGGAGGGGCCCCCUCACCCGCGUCCAUCACACUUUGCCUCCAGUGUAUCUGGGGGCCUGCAGGAGCCGCCCAGCACGGAUACUACCACCACCCUCCCAGGAGUCUGGUGAAGCCCCGAGCCAGCCGGCCUCCAACCAUCCCACUGCCCCAGGGAAGCGCGAGGUCAGCUCUGAGCCCCCAAGUUAACGGAUCACCCCAACAAACUAGGUUCCUUUUACAGGCGGGGAGGAAGCCAAGGGAAAGGUGUUUGCGGGGGGGGGGGGGGGGGGGGGGCCCACGGCUACCACGUGGGGGUGGGGAUUCUGCCCUAAGCCUCUCCGUUAACGCUGCUAACCCUCCGUCCCGGAGAGGAGGGGAAGCGGCAGGCUGGCUAGUGCCUCAGUGUGCUCGCCCGAGGGGCCCGGAGCAGGAAGCACCUGGCCUGGAGCGGAUGCACAAGGCGCCUGGUUCCGGUCCGGCUUCCGCCACCGCGGCCCUGUGGGGAGCUCGGCCAGAGAAACCGGGCGGCGACGCGAGGCAGGGUAGGGGCUGGGUGACUGGAGGGCCCGCCUGUGUCUGGGUGCGCGCCAACAGGGGGGCGGAGGCCCCACGAACACGAGCGCACGGCUGCCGCCCCGUGGCCGGCCCGGGAACUGCAGGCGCCAGCAAAGGGGCGGGGGGCUGAGCGCCUCGUGCUGCGAGACAGACCAUCCCGCUGGCCGCCGGUCAGCUCCCACACCCCCAUACAGACAGAACACUCCAGAUGGCAAUACUGACAGCACUUCGGUCGGGCAGGGACAAACAAACCUCCAGAUGCGUAGCGCUUUCCCAGGGAGUGAAACAAAAAAAGAUGCACAGAGGAACGCAUGCUCCAGACACGCAGCUGGAGAGACGGACAGAGCCCCUAAGGCAGAUGGACAGACAGACCCGCAGGCAGCCUCCCGACUCAGACGAAUGGCAGUCGGAAAGGUGACAUAUCUUUAUUGGCUCAGUCUACAUCCGGACCAGCGGCAACGCCAGACCCAGGCGGGUUCUGGUAAGAGGUCUUGGGAUGGUCAGGGGAGGCGGCUGCAGCCGUGUCCUCGGGUGCUGGGGGGCUGUGGGAGUAGCAGCACUGGUCCCCGCGUUGACAGGUGCCCUGGUGGGAGAACGGUGGGUGUGAACCCUGGCUCAGUGCUCAGCAGCCUCUGCUGGGUCCCCUUCCUAGACGGGGAGCUCGCUCGCACGCCCUGCCCGCCCCGGUUCUCCCAGCCCUGCUGCAGGGAGGGCGAUCCCUGGGUGCUGCUGUGUAGGGGUGGUGGGGGUGCCUUACCUCCUUGAAUCUUUUACAGGGAAAGGUCUUGAGCCGGGCAGCCCGCUGGACCGGGUCCUCAGCUGGCUCCUUUCUCUUAUUCUGGUGCAGCCUGCGUCUCUCCUCCAUACCUUCACCUGCGGCCUUGCUCCUGUGCAGGCAGAGGAGUAGCUGGGACCCCGUCCCGCCCUGGACAAGCCCCACCGCCACCCGCGCUCUCACUCACCCUGGCCGGGCACGGGGCCGGGGGCCCCAGUUGGCCUCAGGAUUAGCCUGGAAACGCUUGAGUCCUCGCUGGCGGGAGCUGGGGUUGGCGUCAUCCCGGAUGGCGAAGUUGGCCUGCAGCCUGGGGACGUGGGAGUGGGGGCUGAGGGGCAGGUGCCCUGCAGGUGCGCACGGACCACCUGCCAACCCCCGUGCAGCUCCACGUGCCUUGGGAAGGCCGUGUCCGCCCGGGUCGGGAUUCUCAUCCAGUUAAUGAACGUGUAUCCAGUGCCUACCGCGAGCCUAAGAUCUGCCAUUGGUAAGGCCGACGUUCCAGUGCGGGAGACGAUGGGACAGAUCAGAGGAUCUGCGUUGUCCCCUGCCCACACGUGAGCCCCCCACGCCCGCGGGCAGCCACACCAGUGCCCGUACCUGGGCUCCACGCUGAGAAUGCGGAACGCAGGGCUGGCCUCUGACAGCCUUUCCCGCUUCACCGGACACUCCUUUUCCUGGGAGGUAAAGUUCGAAGGUCAGGGGACGCUGGGCCUGACCAUGUCCCGCCCUCGCACCCCCAUCUGGUCAGGCCAGCCCUCACCCAGCAGCGCAUGAUGUCCCAGAGGGCCGAGGAGGGGGCAUCCGUCUUCACGGCAUUCUUACAGGCGUGGGAGAGUGAGACCCGGAAGCCGGCACAGAGGAGGGCUGACCUGGGGACCAAGAGGGGCCGUGGGUGGGGGGCGGGGGGCCGGACCCCAAAGCCAGUGCCGAUCCGUGCGGGGGUGUGACGCAGCUGAACGUCUCACGGUGACUACGCGGCCCGGGGAACGCCAGUGAUCGUGAUGGGGAGACCAUCUCCCUCCCCAAGGCUCAAGGCCUCCGCGCUCUCUUCUAAGCACCUGCACGUAGGCCUGUUGGAAAGCCGUUUUACCCAAGACUCUGGCCUUGAGGGGGGCCGGCCUUGCCCCAGGGCCCCCGGAGGGCCCCCGGAGGGCCCCCAGAGGGCGGGCGAAGGGCGCAGACUCCUUCCCGCCCGGGACUGGGCGCUCACCGCAGCUGCAGGAGGCUGGGCGUGCUGCAGCGGAGGGUGCUGCUCAGCUGGUCCAGCGUGUAGUAGAGAGGCACGUCCGGGAGCUCCUGCCGGUGGGGACAGGACGGGCGCGGGGUGGGUGGGGGAAGGAUGGCUGGGCGCAGGCGGGGCCCCCUCCCCGUCGCCCCGGGCCCCCACCUCGGUGAUGACGCUCAGGACCCCCUGGAUUCGCUCCGAGGUGUGGAAGCGGCCGGGAUUGGUGCUCACGGCCUGCAGCACGCGCCCCACGAAGUCCAGGUCGUGGAUGGGCUCCGCCCACAGGGGACCGCCAAGCUACAGACACGUGGCGGGGGGGGGGGAGGGGGCGAAGGGCCAGGUGUCAAGAGAGCCGGAACCCCAGCGUCCCCCUGGUUUCCCCGGCCCUGCCUCACCUGGUGUCGCUGCCCACAGUGCUCACACUCAGGGCCGAUCGGGGGACCACAGGCCGCAGAGAACUUGACCCUGCGGAGAGAGGGGUGGUUAGGAGGCGGCGACCCUAGGCCGCCUCCUUCACCUUCCUCCCCCGGCUCACCCGUGCUCACCGGCCGCCAGAGGCUCCGGACGCUUUGCCAAGGCGCUGGAGGUGAAAGGUCCCGCAGCCCACACACUGGAACACCAGUGCCUGCUUGCUGGGGGGCGGGGGGGGGGGGGGGGGGGCAGGGCUCAUAAGCUCCCCAGCCUGACCGCCGCACCCCAGCUCCUCCCCAUUAGGAGUCCCGUUUCCUCCCGUGCCCCAAAAGGCCCUGUUGCCCCCCCUCUGUUCGUUGCCUCCCUUGCUUGCCCCAGACUAACCUGGCUGAGGCCUUGACUUUGGCCUGGCCGGUGAAGACGCGGACAAAAACUCUCACGUAGAAGUCAGCGCUGACGCUGAGCAGUGGCACCACAAAGCGCUGGUAGCAGUUGGCUCGGAGGUCCAGGCUGUGCAGGACGAUCCUCAGGGCCUGAGGGUGGGAGGCGGGCAUCAGCCAGCAGCCCUGCCUCCACGGACGCCUCCCAGCUACCCUGGGGCCACACCAGGUGCUCCUAAGCACAGGCUCAGGGGCGGCUCCCCGGUGUUGCAAGCCCAGGCCCAAGCGUCCUGGCCGUGUGACCCCUGCCAAGUGAAUGCCUCAGUUCCCCCAUCGACGGAAUCACAACAGCCUAUGUCUCUUUAUGGGCCUCCCGGGGGUGCUACGUGGUUACGGAGCGCACAGGCCCGCCAUCCAGGGCAGCACCAUCCACGUGCCCCGCGCUAUGCGAUGGGCUCCAAGGACCUGUGUUCCGGUUUUCCAGACUGACCUGGCGACAGGGCCCUUACGGAACAAAGCCAGGCCAUCCUCCUUUCCGGCUCCCGCCCUCUCGGAUCCCCACGGCAAUUCACCGUCAAUUCACCGUCGUGCGCAUUUCACAGAGGCCAAAAGCGAGGCCCAGAAGGGUGAAAUGAAUCACCCAAAGGCGCCAGCAAAGCUAGGAUUUGAACCCAAAGCCAAACCCACUCCUGGAAACUGUCUUAAAUCACAAUUUUGAACGAGUUGUUAAAACCGAGGGUACUAGGAAAAAUAAUGCGGCCACUGGCUCCUGCCCUGGGCAAAACCGCAGCCGUCCGAGUGACCAGAACUGGAAGUGCGGGCUCUAGAACUAUUCUGGCUAUAGACCUGCUUGUCUUUGACAUCUUGGGACGGAUCUGGCCCCUGCUGCCUGGAGGAAGCGAAGCAACACUGCCAUGUCGGUGCAGGUGACACACAGCAGACCUGCAAGGAAGGCCUGAGCAGUGAGGAUCCUCCGGAAACCCCGAGCCCUGCUCUGUGCCCAGGAUGACAUGAUACUCUAUAUGGAACACGCAAAAGAUUCCACAAAAAAGCUACUGGACUGAUCCAUGAAUUCAGCAAAGUCGCAGGAUAUAAAAUCAAUGCACAGAAAUCAGUUGCAUUUCUAUACACCAAUAGUGAAGCAACAGAGAGAGAAAUCAAGAAUUGAUCCCAUUCACAACUGCACCAAAAACCACAGAGUAUCUAGGAAUGAACCUAACCAAAGAGGUGAAAAAUCUAUAUGCUGAAAGCUAAAGAAAACUUAUGAAAGAAACUGAAGACACAAAAAAAUGGAAAAAGAUUCCUUGCUCCUGGGUUGGAAGAACAAAUGUUAAAAUGUCGAUACUCCCCAAAGGAAUCUACAUAUUCAAUGCAAUGCCUAUCAAAAUAACACCAGCAUUCUUCACAGAGCUAGAACAAAAAACCCUAAAAUCUGUAUGGAACCAGAAAAGACCCUGAAUAGCCAAAGCAAUCCUGAAAAAGAAAACCAAAGCAGGAGGCAUCACAAUCCCGGACUUCAAGCUGUAUUACAAAGCUGUAAUCAUCAAGACAGUAUGGUACUGGCUCAAAAACAGACACUCAGAUCAACGGGACAGAAUAGAGAACCCAGAAAUGGACCCACAAACAUAUGGCCAACUAAUCUUCGACAAAGCAGCAAAGAAUAUCCAAAGGAAUAAAGACAGUCUCUUCAGCGAAUAGUGCUGGGAAAACUGGACAGCAACAGGCGAAAAAUGAACCUGGACCACUUUCCUACACUAUACACAAAAAGAAACUCAAAAUGGAUGAAACACCUAAAUGUAAGUCAGGAAGCCAUCAAAAUCCUCGAGGAGAAAGCAGGCAAAAACCUCUCUGACCUCGGCCACAGCAACUUCUUACUCAACAGGUCUCCGGAGGCAAGGGAAACAAAAGCAAAAAUGAACCAUUGGGACCUCAUCAAAAUUAAAAGCCUCUGCACAGCGAAGGAAUCAGCAAAACUAAAAGGCACCCAACAGAAUAGGAGAGGACAUUUGCAAAUGAUGUAUCAGACAAAGGGUUAGUAUCCAAAAUCUAGAAAGAACUUAUCAAACUCAACACCCAAAAAACAAAUAAUCCAGUGAAGAAAUGGGCAAAACACAUGAAUAGACACUUUUCCAAAGAAGACAUCCUGGCUAACAGACACAUGAAGAAAUGCUCAACAUCACUCACCAUCAGGGAAAUACAAAUCGAAACCCCAAUGAGAUACCACCUCACAUCUGUCAGAACGGCUCACAUUAACAACUCCGGCAACAACAGAUGUUGAGGAGGAUGCAGAGAAAGAGGAUCUCUUUUGCCCUGCUGGACGGAAUGCAAACUGGUGCAGCCACUCUGGAAAACAGUAUGGAGGUUCCUCAAAAAAUUAAAAAUAGGGGCGCCUGGGUGGCGCAGUCGGUUAAGCGUCCGACUUCAGCCAGGUCACGAUCUCGCGGUCCAUGAGUUCGAGCCCCGCGUUGGGCUCUGGGCUGAUGGCUCGGAGCCUGGAGCCUGUUUCCAAUUCUGUGUCUCCCUCUCUCUCUGCCCCUCCCCCGUUCAUGCUCUGUCUCUCUC